Molecule: ribosomal RNA, 440 nt
Filed under: uncultured bacterium
Lineage: Bacteria
Description: partial 16S ribosomal RNA
Rfam family: Bacterial small subunit ribosomal RNA
Source: RNAcentral
CCUACGGGUGGCUGCAGUGGGGGAUAUUGCACAAUGGGGGAAACCCUGAUGCAGCAACGCCGCGUGAGUGAAGAAGGUCUUCGGAUUGGAAAGCUUUGUUCUUGGUGAAGAAAAUGACGGUAGCCAAGGAGAAAGCACCGGCUAACUACGAGACAGCAGCCGCGGCAAUACGUAGGGAGCGAGCGUUGUCCGGAUUUACUGGGGUUAAAGGGGGCGCAGGCGGCUCUGCAAGUCAGGCGUGAAAGCGAGGGGCAAAACCCCUAAACUGCGCUUGAAACUGUGGGGCUUGAGUGAAGUAGAGGCAGGCGGAAUUCCCGGUGUAGCGGUGAAAUGCGUAGAGAUCGGGAAGAACACCAGUGGCGAAGGCGGCCUGCUGGGCUUUAACUGACGCUCAGGCACGAAAGCAUGGGUAGCAAACAGGAUUAGAUACCCCAGUAGUC